CUGUUUUCCUCUGAGGAGAUAUCUGAAAAAUUUCAUCGGAUCACAAGCAAAGACCUCCUGGGGACCUUCAAUGCAUCCCUUGACAAAUUUGUGCCUGGCCUGCUGAAACUGUACCGGUCUAAGAAGGGAGCUCUUUGUGAGGAGAUGGAAGACCUCCUGGAUAAACUUGAUGAACAGACAUCCAACAUUGUGUCCAACUUGCACUGAGAGGCCUGCCUGCAUGUUUUUAAAGGAUGAGUUAAUCCAAAAUGGAAAUGUACACUUCCUCAGUGCAGGAAGUGUGGGGAUUGUGGGGAUUGCAGUUGUCAUAACUCUUACUCCUUUUUUUCUGCUGAGCAGCAGCUGGGCAUUGUUAGUGGUUGUUCCAUAGUAGAAAAUAUUUUUGUACAAAACUCACAAGGUGGCAUUAAUUAAAAGAAAAUAAGCUUUUUCUUCUUAAAACCUCCAUGAGUCGAACGACCAGCAUGGUAUAGAGGUUAAAGUUAAAAUCUUUAGAAAUUUGUUUUGUCUUUAGUUUUUCUUAGCUUUCAAUAAUUCAUAUUUUACUUUUCUUCGGGAC
Molecule: long non-coding RNA, 559 nt
Organism: Oreochromis aureus
Lineage: Eukaryota; Metazoa; Chordata; Actinopteri; Cichliformes; Cichlidae
Exons: 3
Source: RefSeq, a predicted model, not a curated record